Long non-coding RNA from Camelus dromedarius (Arabian camel), 770 nucleotides. RefSeq lists it as uncharacterized. The record is from RefSeq and is a predicted model, not a curated record. The transcript has 7 exons. Lineage: Eukaryota; Metazoa; Chordata; Mammalia; Artiodactyla; Camelidae.
GCUGCCUAAGGUGUCCGCAGGGUCACAGCUGCACCCCAGGAAGGACCCGGAAGGAAAAACUCCGGGGCUUUUAAUGGGCUGUGGCCCAGUUGUUUCAAGAUUCUGCUCACAAUGCAGAGAAGAUUCAUUUCCGGUAUAUGUUAUUACAAGAAAUUGAAUGUAAUUCCCUGUGCUAUAUACAGAAACAGCCUGCUUAAAUCUAUACACUACUCUGCAGAAAAUCAGAAUGCAAAAAGUAGCUGCUGAAUACAGCCAUGAAGGCAGUGAAUUCAAUAAGAGCAUUGGCUGGAACUUACAGCACCACACUGAGUAAGAGGGGUGAGAACUGACGUCUUUGCCCUGUUCCUGAUCUUAGACGGAGACUGUUUGUGAGAAACUGUCUUCCGAAGUGGCCGUAUUGAGUUCCCAGCAGCAAUGAAGGAGAGUGCCUGUUGUUCCACAUCCCCAGCGGCAUCUGGCGUUGCCAGUGUUCUCUGCAUUUUGGCUGUUUUAAUAGGUAGAGUAUCCACGAAGGAGGCCACUGCAUGACCUGAGCAGCUUACUGCUUGGUCGGUCUGCUGCGCCCGGACGCCUCGCAGGAGGGGCUCAGCAAGGACACCACCUUCUCGCAGUAGCCCUCGCAUUCCUGCACGAGGGCCCGUGUCGCUGUGCAGUGAAAAGUGUGUCCCACUCGUGUCUCAGCAAAGUUCCAGACGUUAUGGAUUCAUCACAUAUAAAUUCUUUAAAAAUAUACUUCUGUCAAAAGACUUGAGGACUACUAUGUACACUAC